GACGAACGCUGGCGGCGUGCUUAACACAUGCAAGUCGAACGGAAAGGCUCCAGCUUGCUGGAGUGCUCGAGUGGCGAACGGGUGAGUAACACGUGGGCAAUCUGCCCUGCACUCUGGGAUAAGCCUGGGAAACUGGGUCUAAUACCGGAUAGGACCUCUCUCCUCAUGGGGUUUGGUGGAAAGUUUUUCGGUGCAGGAUGAGCCCGCGGCCUAUCAGCUUGUUGGUGGGGUAAUGGCCUACCAAGGCGACGACGGGUAGCCGGCCUGAGAGGGUGAUCGGCCACAUUGGGACUGAGAUACGGCCCAGACUCCUACGGGAGGCAGCAGUGGGGAAUAUUGCACAAUGGGCGAAAGCCUGAUGCAGCGACGCCGCGUGAGGGAUGACGGCCUUCGGGUUGUAAACCUCUUUCAGUAGGGACGAAGCGCAAGUGACGGUACCUGCAGAAGAAGCACCGGCUAACUACGUG
RNAcentral lists this ribosomal RNA (467 nucleotides) under uncultured bacterium. RNAcentral's name for it is "partial 16S ribosomal RNA". It matches the Rfam family "Bacterial small subunit ribosomal RNA", at positions 28 to 507 of the family's 1533-position model. The record is from RNAcentral.